This 3991-nucleotide long non-coding RNA is filed under the name Pan troglodytes (chimpanzee). RNAcentral describes it as "lincRNA". Lineage: Eukaryota; Metazoa; Chordata; Mammalia; Primates; Hominidae. The record is from RNAcentral.
AUCGAGUUUUCCCUGAUCAAGUAAGACAGACCCUAAGCUGGAGCCAACGUGGCUGCUUCUGGACCGCGCUCUGUCUUCCGUGAGAAACUGCAAGACCUCGAGCCACUGAGAGGGAGACCUAACAGGAGCCCCGAGAAGGGCCCCCUGCGUCGCUGGCACCUGCCUGGCACAGAGCCCUUGCUGUCUGUUGGAUGAUCACUUGUCCUGCAGCCAGGGACAGUGGGGUUUGGGUCCAGCCCUGCCACCUCCUGGCAACCUCAUUUGUGAGAGCUGUUGAGGGGGAGAAUGUGGAGAUUCCUGUGGGAUGCUCCCGGCCACGUCUACAGGAAGUGCUUACUGUUCAGUGGCAUGCUUUGUUUUGGAUAGAAUCGGACUCCCUCCCCAGCAGAGAGCGGGAGGCAGGCAUUGUGAUCCCUGUGCACUACAGAAGCUGGUGUUCUAAAGAUGCCCUGCGUGGCAUGGCCUCAUAUUCUGGAGCCAAACAGACUUCUGGGGGGAUGGUGUCUCCGUUUCCCCAACCCCAGGGGCCCAGCUGGGAGGAGACAGCAGGCUGAUCUUUCCACAAGACCUGCACUCAGUCCCCACAUCAACGGGCACUGCCCACCCAGACAGCACCUACUCCUGUGGGCAGCACCCAGAACCGGUGCUCACGAUGGGGAAGUCAGGACUUUGGAGAAGCGGGAAACUGGAGCCCAAGGGCAGGGUGCUCAGGAGAGACCCAUCCAGAUAGCAAUGCUCAAGGCCAAGUGAGACCAACGACCUGAAGUCCAGGGAGAAAGCAGUGCCAGUCCUGUUUCUCUGGGCCUCAUCCUCUCCUCCAUCAAAAUGAGGAACCGUGGACUGCAGGAGCAUUGAGGAAGGCACGUGGAGUCCCCGCUCUGUGUUGGGCCCCGUAGGGUGCCCUUCCUGUGGGCGGCCAUUCUGGGGGUGGCGCCCCCUGUCUGAAAUCAGCAGCACACCAGCUCCCUGUGCUCCGUGUGACAAGCUGCCGGGGACAAAGAGAGACUCCCCUGGGACCACAGCAGUAGGCACGGCAUUCCUGUGACAGAAAUCAAUGCCACAGAUCGAGGGAUGGAGCCACCGGCUCCCCAGGCUGAGUCCCCGUCCGGUAACGCGGCCACACUCCUUCCUCCCUCCAAGAAGAUCCCAGGGAGGGCGAUCCCGCCUGGAUGCGUUCCUCACUCCCUAUCAGGUGACCCCAGCCUCUGGGCAUUGGGAGGUGGCCACAUGGGGACAUGGACAUGAAGGCUGGGUGAGUGUGGGGACCAGGCGAGCUGGCUGCUGGACACCCACCCACCGAGCUGCACCAGACCCCACUCUCUGUGCUCUGGACCCCAGGAAGCAGUCAGGAUUGGGGGUCCCACUCACAGGCCCCGGUGCCUUCCACCUAGGCAGCUGCCAUGUGCACCCUCAGGCUUCAGACUCCUGGCCACGGGGGUGGUGGUGUGGACCCCAGGCCGUGUGUGCAGAUGCAGCAAGAUGACAUCAGCCAUUCAUUCACUGCGUCACCCCUCGCCUAGCUCCUUCUCAGAGCCUCACUCGGAACAGCACAUCUCCCAUCUCAGCUGCCCUGGCCACUUCUGUGUAGGAGGCAGGAGGGAUACUCCCACCACCCCGACCCUUACAGAUAACAGGCUCAGAAAGGCACCUGACCCCACAGCCCUUCAGUUGGGUUUGAACCUGGGUUGCUUGGUUUCAAAGCACAGGGGUUUGUCCUGCCCACUCACACCCCUCAAAGUGUGGAUGUGGGAAACACCGCUGAGGAGCCUGGACAUCCAGGAGGGCUCAGGAGACCCUUCCUGACUGCACCCCGGACAGGCCCACGACAGGCAGAUGGGACACAGGUCAGGAUGUGGCAGGCACACGGCCUGGCUUCUAGACACUUCUCAGACCUGGGAGAGGAGAGAGGGACAGGUGGUGUGGGCGUGCUGGAGGCGGGAAGGGGAUAAGAGUGUUGGUUAUCACGGGCAAUGUGGACACACGGCCAGGACAGGGGUCCACAGUAUUUCAGGAACCUCCCACAAGAUGAAACUUCUAGACAGACUUCCCUCCCUGUGAGAUACCUUAGGCUGUAGUGGAGAGGUCGCUGAAAGAAUCGAUAUUUCUAGAAAUUAGCUUUGGGAUCAGUUUGCGAAGCUGCGUCUCUGCUGACAAGUGAAUGAAGCCCGUGGGCAGGGAAUACACUGAGGCCUUAGGCCUGCAGAAGAGCACAGGUGCACCUGUGCCACACGGGCCGGAAUCAACCCAGGUGAAUUCCAGCCCAUGCCGCUGAUGCCAAGCAUGGACGAGGAAUCCAGCUGGGGCUGAAGUUCCGCUACGCUGUCAGUUCCACUGGGGAUGUGUGUUGCUCCUUCAGCCUCUGCCAGACACACAGGCCCGGUUCCAGCACCCGGGUGUUUGAGGCCAGUGUGUGAGUCAGCCAGGGAGCCUCAGCCUUUCCCACUGGCUUCAAAAAGACGUGGAGGCUGAUGGGGAGGAGGGAGGUUCCCCAGAGCAGGAGGCCAUCUGAUGUAAUGAACAUGCCUUCCUAAGACGCUGCCUGGGCCACAGCCAAGUGUGGUCGCUCUCUGAGCAGUCGAUGCCGCCACAAAAUGUCCUGGCAGCAGCGGCACGACCCCUGCACCCCGCCUGCUGCAUCCAGGACAGCGCCGGCCUCCCACGGCGGCUCCCGGGAGAAGAGGAGACGCCACUUUGGCUGCUGUCCCGGGGAGAGGGGAGACAGUCCUUCGACUUCAUGCAGGGGCUUGUCAACCCCAAAGCUUCCUCCGCCGCCAUCUGGGUCUGACGCUCUCCGCUGGAAGGUGUUCAGGAGGUGGCACCCCACGUCCACCAGUGCUGGCUUCAAAUCAAACAAUAAACGGCGUUUAAAAAAAUUAGUCCCACAGGUCAAGCCAGAGUCCCCUGCAGAUGCCUGUUCCUUCACACUCCGCGCCUUCCGCUCCCUUCGAGUGGUUGCACUCCCAGGCCUGUGGACGCACCUCGGCCAGAGCAAACCUGUAGCCUCUUCCCCAGCACGAAAGGCAGGAGGUGAAAAUCACCAGGUCCCUGUACCAUCAGGAAGGACCUGAACAGCCUCUGUCACCGUGUAUAACAAGUCUCACUGACUCCUUCUCCGGAGCAGGACUCCCGGGUCUGAGGCAAGGCUUCAGGAUGCUUUCCCGGCUCAGCCCUGGCCCUCCAUUACCUGCCCUGCCCGGCUUCUGCCCCACAGGGCUGCCUGGGGUCCUGGCCGCUUUGCGCGAGGAGAGGAUGGCUCCAGCCUCCUGACCUUGGAGGCUCCACAGACAGAAGACGCUGCCCCGGGACAUGAGGGCCCUGCCUGGCUUUGACCCUCCUCUGAUAACAGGGGACAGCCAAUGCCCUGCUGGGCCCACGGGGAACAGAAGCCAGUCUGGGCUGGGCCAUCCCCUGCAAGUGGUCCACUCCCCCGGCCGGCUGAUGGUGGAGUCCAGGCUGGCCUGGUGACAUGUGCGCCUCCAGAGGUGACAGAAGGGAUAUUCAAACUUCCAAGGCCCCAGAGGCCUCCAUCCCUGCCCAAGCACAGUUCAAACCUUCAAGCUCUUGGGGGUACUUUUGUGACGGCUGGGGUGGAGCUGGUGCUUCAUCUUCUCUUCCAGUCAGUGGAGUGAAACAGCAGGUCCAUCUUGCAUGUCUGUGUCUGCAGACGGAUGGUCCAGGGCCAUCCCUACACCCUCCUGUGCUGGGCCCGCAGGGAAGCCAGUUCCACCAGCAGUCUGCAGGUAACGGGGUCCCAGGCCAGGCACUCCCCUUGACCCCCUGUGGGUUUGUUCCUGCCACCCGCUCUGCCCCUCCUUGGGUGCCUCCCACCACCAGAUCUCCUGCAAGAUGGACGUCAGGGUCCUGGGAGAAAACAGUUCUGUGCUGGGGCCGCUUUGACCCCCAAGGACCCCGUGUCCAGAAGAACGGCAGCUUGUAACCCCAUCCCUGUAAUGAGAAUGAAAAUGAAUUCAAUUUGUAUCAUUUCCUAUAA